This 1289-nucleotide long non-coding RNA is filed under the name Equus caballus (horse). Its description in RNAcentral is "lncRNA (ENSECAG00000055467.1)". The record is from RNAcentral. Lineage: Eukaryota; Metazoa; Chordata; Mammalia; Perissodactyla; Equidae.
GCUAGGGCUGCCAUGAAAAAGUACCAUAAACUGAGUGGCUUAAGCAAAGAAAUUGUCUCAGUUCAGAAGUCUGGAAGUCUGAGAUCAAGCUGUCCCUGGGGCUGGUUCCUUCUGAGGGCUGUGAGGAAGAAUCUGCUCCAGGCCUCCCCGCUGGCUUCUGGUGGUUUCCUGGCAAUCUUUGCUGUUCCUUGGCUUACUGAAGCAUCACUCCGAUCUCUGCCUUCAUCUUCACUUGUGUACUCCCUGUGUAUGUGGGACUGUGCCCAAACUUCCCCUUUUUAUAAGGACAUUAGUCACAUCGACCCAUUCCAGUAUGACUUCAUUUUAACAUCACUAAUUACAUCUGUUAUGACCCUAUUUCCAAGUGAGUUCACAUCCUGAGGUACUGGGGGUUAGGACGUCAACAUAUGAAUUUGAGGAGGACACAAUUCAAUCACAACAUCUCCCAUCCUGGACUAGUAGGCACCAGAAACACUUGAGUUUGGUGCGUCCAUGUCAGCCCAGGCCAGCGUGCCACCCUCUGCAGGCUGGGUGCACAGAAGCAUUCCUGCCAUGGCAGUCACAUCAAGAGUGGAGUUGACUGUCCAAUAGAGUCACAGCCUGAAAUGGCCCCGACGGUGCACAGGAUGGGCUCACCCGGUCCACGCUUCACCCUCUGCCGGAAGGAGGGUUGAAAUCAUUGACUCCAUCUUCCAGUGACAGUAACAGCUGCCGUUCAUUGACCAUCUGCCCGCGUCCCUGUAGUUAAGAUAUGGAACCUCCAUUCCUGCUUCUACAGGGAGUCCCGGGUUUUCUAAAAGAACCCUCUCAGUUCCCAGGAUAUCAUUUCUUUUAAAUAUAGAGAAAAUAUUGAAAGGUUAUGUCAAUGUACAUAGGUCAUCUCAGGUGUUAUUACGGGGACUUUUUAUUCUCCUUUUUUUGAUUAACUGUAUCUUCUAAAUUUUCAAUGUAUAUGUAUUACUGUGUAAUAAGAAAAGCAAAGUGAAGUUUAUUUUUACAAAAAACUAAAUAGUAUAAAUUAACAAAAUAAAAGCAGAUGCAACAACAUUAUUAUGAAACAAGAUAGAAUUAAAGGCAAAAAUCAUUAAAAGAGCAAAGAGUUAUGUUUCAUAUUGUUGAUAGAUAUUUUCUGCCAUAAAGAUAAAAUAGUCAGUAGACCUAAAUGCAUUUAACACUAAAACUUCAAAAUAUAUAUGCAAAACCUGAUAGAAAUAAAAAGAGAAAUUGAUGAAUCCACAGCAUGGCAGGAGACUUUAACAUAUCACUUUAAGAAACAAUAAAAAAGGAGA